AUGUCAGUUCAGAUCUGCAACCUGCCAUCACCCCUUCCAGCGAGCGUGCGUGCGAGCGUGCGUGUUGGGUCACAGCGGCACCUCUGUCACUUUGUGGUACCGGAGCCCCCUCAGCGUCCACAAAAGCCCGCCGCCCCUGCUGCACCCCCCUACCCACGCCCCCCCCGAGGACCACAGGCUGCAGGAUUAGGUGAGCUUAGGGCCCCGUGUCUCUGGUCGCUCGGACUGGCUACCUCGCCACACAUUCAGGAUAAUCCUAAUUUGCUCACCUCUCGGCCUCCGGCAGCCGGCUCGGUGCUGAGAGCUCGUGAGGUUUGCAAAAUGUGACAAGUUGCGAGGUAUUUCAGCUUGUCCUUAGCCAUUUAUAGGAAGCACUGAGGGUGGUGGUCUAAUAGCGGGAGAAAUGAAAACGUUCUAGUCAAUCAAGCAGGGUCCCUGCAGUGGUGCACCUGAUGGUUUCAUAGAAGGGCCUGAAUAUAAGAACAGCUGAAGCCCUUUAACGUGUAUGCAUGUCGAUUAAUCAUCCUGUUAGGGAAAUGAACAGGAAUUUAACCUCUGCCUGUUCGGUGGAACUGGUACUUAGAGGAAGUGGAGGUCUGAUUGAUUUUCUGUCCCGUGUGAGUGAACUACAUGCGGCUAUCAAUGCAGGAGUUGAACUGAACAUGUGAAUGCCUGUGUUAUCGGAUACGGUCACUCCGACAUACUGAACAAACACAACGAAGAACGCGCAAGGCGCACUGCCUGUCGUGGACACCAUAUGAUCACCAUACAUUAAGCUAUAAAAAGACACAAGUUUAAGUCAGUUUCCUCGUAUUUAUUUCUCCCGUGUUGGUUGUUUUCGACACGAUGAUGCAAGAGCGAGUUUUCUAUUCGAACGAGGUCCGAUAAGUUCAGUCCAGAGACACAUACCAGAUAUUAGAAACAUUCAUGUUUCUGCUUUUGCAUCCAGUCCUCAUUGUGUCACACUUGCUUUGUCUCUGGUGGCGAUGUGCUAAGGUAAGAGCGGCUUGUGGGGGGGUGAAUCCAUCACUGUCAUGGGAGCCCGUUGAUCAUAUGCACUCUGCCUACAGGUCUAAUGAAAUAACCUGCUGGUUUAGACAAAUCUGUACCUCCGUCGGUGUCGGACACAACAGAGCAUGUGUACUUUUUAGAAGGUCUUACUGAAAGAAAAAAGUACAGGAUCAAUUUCUAAGCAUUGGCAUGUACUGUAACAAUCUUAGCUUGGAAAUGAUGUUAAAGCAAUAGUUUGGCAUUUUAAUAAAUGUGCUUAUUCGCUCUGUUCAAAGGUAAAAUCCACUUGCCGGUACCUGACAUUCUCCCUCCGAUGUAACGGCUGCACAGACGUUAGUCAUAAGCCACGUGCCCACGAUCCGCAUGCAUACUAAUCUGCUGCUCAACCUUUUCCCACAAGUUCUUUCCAUCAUUUAGCUCUUUUAAAUUUUUUAACUCUCAUCUCUGAAACCAUGAUUCAACUCACAUGGUCGCACAUUUGUCCAGGAAGGUACCAGGCGGCUUCCUCCUGGUCUGAAAGGCGAAGCCAGCAAGGGGCAACUUGACUUAACGCGGGAAUGUUUGCGUCUAAGUCUGCGAUAAAAUGCAUGAAUGAAUACUGAAUUACUUUUACCAUCAAGGGUAAAAUCCACCAUAGAUAAGAGUAGGGUUUAGGGCGUGGCUGACUGGUGAUUGACAGGUCUUUAGCAUGGCAUUCUAUGUGUGCUCCAUGUUUUUGUCUUUGAACUUUAAUCCUGUUACAUUCUGGUUUUAUUUUCACACUCCAGCUUUUAUGCUAACCUAAGCUAACCGGCUUUAGCUUCAUAUUUACCACACAGACAUGAGAGAGGUUUCCAUCAAAACCUAUUUCUAAAAAAUCCCAGACUAUUCCCAUAAACGAGCAGAGGCAUGUUGUGUGUUUUUUUUUUUCUUGCUGUGACUGCAAGUAGAAAAUAUUUCUUAUUUCAUUUUGAAAAGCGAUUGAAGUGAAAGCCAUUUG
Gasterosteus aculeatus (three-spined stickleback) is the source of this 1990-nucleotide long non-coding RNA. NCBI's taxonomy places the organism in Eukaryota, Metazoa, Chordata, Actinopteri, Perciformes, Gasterosteidae. The record is from Ensembl.